Gasterosteus aculeatus aculeatus (three-spined stickleback) is the source of this 538-nucleotide long non-coding RNA. Lineage: Eukaryota; Metazoa; Chordata; Actinopteri; Perciformes; Gasterosteidae. The record is from Ensembl.
CGAUGGUAUCAGCACCCGGCAGAGCUGGAGGUGAGAGAUAGAAGCGUGCUAAAAACGCUGGGCAAAGAGCACACAGAGAGCAAGCUCAUCAUCAGUAUCCAACAACAGCUCUGCGCUCUGCUGGACUGGCUGUUUUCCCUCAAUGUGAGCCGGGUGAGACAUCAACAUCAGGCUACCGGGGAAAUAAACACGGCAACUCGAAACUGUUGAAGCCAUCAUAUUCAUUCAUCCAGAACACCUGUGCAGUUCAACAUCGGAGGAGUUUCUCAUUGCCUCGUCUCUCCAAGAAACGUUGAGGCACUGGAUUAAAGACGCCAGCCGUUUGCUGCGGUCAAUUGAAAGUGUUCCAUAGCGUAUUUUUUGCAGUUAGUUUACCUUUACCUUAAUUCUAUGAUUCAUUUUUUUAUUAUUGUAUACAUGCUGCAUAUUUUAUUUUUAUUUUUGUUCUUGGUUACAAUUUUUGUCUUUAAAGGCAUCUAAUAAACUCGAACAACUAUGACCGAAAUGAUUUUGUUUGUCUUUUUUUAAUUUGUGGGGA